This 373-nucleotide ribosomal RNA is filed under the name uncultured organism. RNAcentral's name for it is "partial 16S ribosomal RNA". It matches the Rfam family "Bacterial small subunit ribosomal RNA", at positions 527 to 896 of the family's 1533-position model. The record is from RNAcentral.
GUAGGUGGCAAGCGUUGUCCGGAAUUAUUGGGCGUAAAGCGCGCGCAGGCGGUUCUUUAAGUCUGAUGUGAAAGCCCACGGCUCAACCGUGGAGGGUCAUUGGAAACUGGAGAACUUGAGUACAGAAGAGGAAAGCGGAAUUCCACGUGUAGCGGUGAAAUGCGUAGAGAUGUGGAGGAACACCAGUGGCGAAGGCGGCUUUCUGGUCUGUAACUGACGCUGAGGCGCGAAAGCGUGGGGAGCAAACAGGGAUUAGAUACCCUGGUAGUCCACGCCGUAAACGAUGAGUGCUAAGUGUUAGGGGGUUUCCCGCCCCUUAGUGCUGCAGCUAACGCAUUAAGCACUCCGCCUGGGGAUACGGCCCGCAAGGCUG